Molecule: long non-coding RNA, 226 nt
Organism: Etheostoma cragini (Arkansas darter)
Lineage: Eukaryota; Metazoa; Chordata; Actinopteri; Perciformes; Percidae
Exons: 4
Source: RefSeq, a predicted model, not a curated record
AUGUUUAACACAAAGGGCCAGGGCUUGUCCUGGAAAGAGUCAUGAGUGCCACUAGGCAUGCAUCCUGGACCCAGCACAUAUCAGUUAGAGCGUGCUGUAUUUUUACACAAGCAUCCUUAUCGGUCUGGGGAGAAGGAGUUAGCUGCCGUCCUUGAGGGGGCAGAGGUGCCUGGCGUUCAUUGGGAGAAGGGAGGGGGUUAAAUUCGGUUCCAGCAUAGACCAGCUG